This is a long non-coding RNA of Pseudophryne corroboree (corroboree frog), 542 nucleotides long. RefSeq lists it as uncharacterized. Lineage: Eukaryota; Metazoa; Chordata; Amphibia; Anura; Myobatrachidae. The record is from RefSeq and is a predicted model, not a curated record. The transcript has 3 exons.
UGACGUCAUCAGAUCGUCUCCUCGUUAUGCCGUCCCGCGCUCCGCCCCCUUACUGGCAAACUAUGGCUUAGUGUUAAGGUUUCUCAUCACUAUAUGCACAGUAUACUGCAUCUUCCGGAUCAUGUGAUCUCCUACAUGAAUAGUGAUUACCGACUGAAGACGCCGUCUGCAGAGGAAGGACAUUUCUUCAGAUGUUCCCCGUUAUGAGAAGCCACCAUAUAGGCCCUCUUUGUUGAACAGUGUGAAUGGAGAGACCGCCUCCCCAUGUUGGAACUCCGGAUUGCCCAGGAACGUCAGGAACAAGGACUUGUGCCCACCUAAAUUCCUAGCGCGUCUAAGAAUAUGCCAUAAUUUAUAUAUCGUCCAUAGAAGUGGGUUGUCUUUCAAUUCCUGAUCGAAUUCCGCUUCCACCCCGUGAAGGAAAGAUAUUAGGUUCCUGGACCCUACAAAUUGUGCCUCCAGCUGUGUAUUAGCAUAAGUAUUACUAUUAUGUAACCAGUCUUUUAAAAAUCUCAAUAAAGAAGCAUGGUUAUAUUUCUGAA